AUCUAGCUGAAGAGUCCCAAAUAGGACGAAACGCGCGUCCUGGAU
RNAcentral lists this non-coding RNA (45 nucleotides) under Schistosoma mansoni. Lineage: Eukaryota; Metazoa; Platyhelminthes; Trematoda; Strigeidida; Schistosomatidae. The record is from RNAcentral.